Long non-coding RNA from Candoia aspera, 236 nucleotides. RefSeq lists it as uncharacterized. The transcript has 2 exons. The record is from RefSeq and is a predicted model, not a curated record. NCBI's taxonomy places the organism in Eukaryota, Metazoa, Chordata, Lepidosauria, Squamata, Candoiidae.
CUGUAUUUCUGGCUCAGUACUUGGAAUGAAGAGUUCCUGUUACCCAACUUUCCAAGGUGAUCACUGAACAAAUGUUGAAGCCUCUUUAUGAGACUGAUGUAGAAAUCUGUUGAGUCAGGAUCUGAAAUCCAUCUAAUACUAUAGUUUUUUCCUAACUCUGUAGAGUUGGACGCAGACAAAACACAAUGUGUUCUGUUACUUGUCUUCCUCCUCUUUAUUAAACAAAAGUAAUCAUA